This 95-nucleotide non-coding RNA is filed under the name Cebus imitator (Panamanian white-faced capuchin). Lineage: Eukaryota; Metazoa; Chordata; Mammalia; Primates; Cebidae. The record is from RNAcentral.
GGCUGGUCCCAAGGUAGUAAAUUUUCUCAACCGGUUAUUCACAGUCGGUUACCCUUUGUGCCACUCUUUCCCCACUUCCACUUGAUUAGUCUUUU